CACAGAUGAUGUACUUCAUCCUUUUGUCGUAGGACUUCAUUCGCUUAAAGGAAAACUAAAGACCACAUCAAUGGAGCACAUUCAGGGAGCUUGGAAGACCAUCAGUAAUGGGUUUGGACUCAAGGAUUCUGUCUUUGAUGGCCCCAACUGUAUCUCCCCAACCAUCGUCCAGCAGUUUGGUUAUCAACGCCGAGCGUCUGAUGAUGGCAAAAUAUCAGAUACUUCCAAAACCAGCAACACUAUUCGUGUUUUCUUGCCCAACAAGCAGCGCACGGUGGUAAAUGUGCGGAAUGGGAUGACCUUACACGACUGCCUUAUGAAGGCGCUUAAAGUACGAGGUCUGCAGCCCGAGUGCUGUGCGGUUUUUCGGCUUCUUACUGAGCCCAAAGG
Apaloderma vittatum (bar-tailed trogon) is the source of this 390-nucleotide long non-coding RNA. RefSeq lists it as uncharacterized. The transcript has 3 exons. Lineage: Eukaryota; Metazoa; Chordata; Aves; Trogoniformes; Trogonidae. The record is from RefSeq and is a predicted model, not a curated record.